GCAGUCGUGGCCGAGCGGUUAAGGCGUCUGACUAGAAAUCAGAUUACCUCUGGGAGCGGGAGCCUACCGGCUGCG
Molecule: transfer RNA, 75 nt
Filed under: Drosophila sechellia
Lineage: Eukaryota; Metazoa; Arthropoda; Insecta; Diptera; Drosophilidae
Rfam family: tRNA
About the family: Transfer RNA (tRNA) molecules are approximately 80 nucleotides in length. Their secondary structure includes four short double-helical elements and three loops (D, anti-codon, and T loops). Further hydrogen bonds mediate the characteristic L-shaped molecular structure. tRNAs have two regions of fundamental functional importance: the anti-codon, which is responsible for specific mRNA codon recognition, and the 3' end, to which the tRNAs corresponding amino acid is attached (by aminoacyl-tRNA synthetases). tRNAs cope with the degeneracy of the genetic code in two manners: having more than one tRNA (with a specific anti-codon) for a particular amino acid; and 'wobble' base-pairing, i.e. permitting non-standard base-pairing at the 3rd anti-codon position.
Source: Rfam by way of RNAcentral